AUUGAACGCUGGCGGCAGGCCUAACACAUGCAAGUCGAGCGGUUGAGGGUAGCUUGCUACCCGAUGCAGCGGCGAACGGGUGAGUAACGCGUGGGAAUCUGCCCAGUAGUGGGGGACAACAGUCGGAAACGACUGCUAAUACCGCAUACGCCCUACGGGGGAAAGGGGGGGAUCUUCGGACCUCUCGCUAUUGGAUGAGCCCGCGUCGGAUUAGCUAGUUGGUGAGGUAAAGGCUCACCAAGGCGACGAUCCGUAACUGGUCUGAGAGGAUGAUCAGUCACACUGGAACUGAGACACGGUCCAGACUCCUACGGGAGGCAGCAGUGGGGAAUAUUGGACAAUGGGGCAACCCUGAUCCAGCCAUGCCGCGUGUGUGAAGAAGGCCUUAGGGUUGUAAAGCACUUUCAGUGGGGAGAAAAGUGAUUCACCUAAUACGUGAGUCAAUUGAUGUUACCCACAGAAGAAGCACCGGCUAACUCCAUGCCAGCAGCCGCCGUAA
Molecule: ribosomal RNA, 499 nt
Filed under: uncultured bacterium
Lineage: Bacteria
Description: partial 16S ribosomal RNA
Rfam family: Bacterial small subunit ribosomal RNA
Source: RNAcentral